This 46-nucleotide transfer RNA is filed under the name Dryopteris amurensis. RNAcentral describes it as "partial tRNA-Leu". The record is from RNAcentral. RNAcentral also lists the same sequence under 2 other names. Lineage: Eukaryota; Viridiplantae; Streptophyta; Polypodiopsida; Polypodiales; Dryopteridaceae.
AUCCGUUGGUUUCACAUGACCGUGAGGGUUCGAUUCCCUCUAUCCC